GACCUCAAAUCGGGUGGGACUACCCGCUGAACUUAAGCAUAUCAAUAAGCGGAGGAAAAGAAACUAACAAGGAUUCCCCUAGUAACGGCGAGUGAAGAGGGAAAAGCUCAAAUUUUGAAUCUGGUGUCUUUGACUCCCGAGUUGUAAUCUAGAGAAGUGUUUUCCGUGUCGGACCGUGCACAAGUUCCCUGGAACGGGGCGUCAUAGAGGGUGAGAAUCCCGUAUAUGGCACGGACCGCCGAUGCUCUGUGAUACACUCUCAACGAGUCGAGUUGUUUGGGAAUGCAGCUCAAAAUGGGUGGUAAAUUCCAUCUAAAGCUAAAUAUUGGCGAGAGACCGAUAGCGAACAAGUACCGUGAGGGAAAGAUGAAAAGCACUUUGGAAAGAGAGUGAAACAGUACGUGAAAUUGUUGAAAGGGAAGCGUUUGAAGUCAG
Molecule: ribosomal RNA, 435 nt
Filed under: uncultured fungus
Lineage: Eukaryota; Fungi
Description: eukaryotic LSU rRNA
Rfam family: Eukaryotic large subunit ribosomal RNA
Source: RNAcentral